Molecule: ribosomal RNA, 479 nt
Filed under: Streptomyces sp. 313B03
Lineage: Bacteria; Bacillati; Actinomycetota; Actinomycetes; Kitasatosporales; Streptomycetaceae
Description: bacterial SSU rRNA
Rfam family: Bacterial small subunit ribosomal RNA
Source: RNAcentral
UAGUGGCGAACGGGUGAGUAACACGUGGGCAAUCUGCCCUGCACUCUGGGACAAGCCCUGGAAACGGGGUCUAAUACCGGAUAACACUCCUGCACUCAUGUGUGGGGGUUAAAAGCUCCGGCGGUGCAGGAUGAGCCCGCGGCCUAUCAGCUUGUUGGUGAGGUAAUGGCUCACCAAGGCGACGACGGGUAGCCGGCCUGAGAGGGCGACCGGCCACACUGGGACUGAGACACGGCCCAGACUCCUACGGGAGGCAGCAGUGGGGAAUAUUGCACAAUGGGCGAAAGCCUGAUGCAGCGACGCCGCGUGAGGGAUGACGGCCUUCGGGUUGUAAACCUCUUUCAGCAGGGAAGAAGCGAAAGUGACGGUACCUGCAGAAGAAGCGCCGGCUAACUACGUGCCAGCAGCCGCGGUAAUACGUAGGGCGCAAGCGUUGUCCGGAAUUAUUGGGCGUAAAGAGCUCGUAGGCGGCUUGUCAC